ACACACACACACACACACGCACACAGUCCUUAUUUGUCAUAUCAACUAGAGCAAACUUAUGAUUGGUUAGAGGGAGUUAAGUCCCACCCUCUCUUCACGCAGAAGUCAGUGAGUUGCAGUGCGGGUAAAACAGCAGCGGUCGGAGCGGAUGAGAAAUAGAGAGUUAGAAUAGCGAUUAUUAACAUAUCCAUGAGAUAAAAUACUCUUCUGAAUGCGUCAGAGGUGUGCGAGGGUCCGUGAGCCAGGAGUAGUAGUACUUUUGGCAUUAUCGUCUUGGCUGGGUUUUUUGAGAACUAGAGAACUGGAUGUGGAUUCUCCCUUGGAUGGGAGAUGGCUAGCCCCCAGUGAGAUCUCUUCUUAACCUAAGGAGUGAGGAACCGAGACCUGAGAAGAGGACCUCAUAUCUUUUUGCUUUCACUCAAGUAUCAGUGUGGUAGGACCACCACACAUCCGACUACUUGAAUUUUCCCCCCUGACUUGACAUAAAACAUUGACUUGAGCGCGCUGACUGAUAUCGCAAAGACAUUAAAGGGACAUUACACUCAUGGACACUUUCAAUUCAAGUUCUGCUGAAAGACUGUGAAAUCUUGAGAUACUGAUGAUAAUUGCACUGCAUUUUAUGUUCAUGUUUUAUAACUUGGUACAGUAAACUUACCUCAACGUUCCUCGUGGCUCCAUUUAUCUGUUUUGUCUGUCAUUCCCUUUUCAGCCCUCCCAUUACGAACCUAGCCCCUGGUCCAUAUAUUCUUUAUUCUUUACCCUGUAGCACCUAGUGGGUUACACAUACGCUCACGAUUUUUUUUAGGGUUAGGAUGGUAUUCUUGGAAUUUGGGCUCAGUCUUUGGAAAUCUGAAUAUGAUUAGGGUUAAGUUCAGGUGCAUCUUACUCCCUAAACUUCAGUUCAAUUUGGAAGUGAUCAAGUAUUCCUCCAUGGAAAAAUACAAUCGCCCCAGAAGGAGUCUUUGGGCAUAUUCCAAAGACUGAAUCCAAAUCCAGGAAUACGAUCCUAACCCGGGUUUUUCUUUUUACGAAGAUGGAAGGCGUCCUCAUUCACAGCUUCAGAGGUGGGCCUCAACACACAAGUCGAGCACUGCUUUCCCAAGGCCCAGUUCUUGCACGCUGACUCUGACCUCCAGAGCGGGAAACUCUCUGGCGGUACUUCAGCGACUCAACUCGGUCACCUCUGAAGCUGUGAAUGAGGACGCCUUCCAUCUAAGGGAGCCUAGUCGACCUCAGCUCGAUGAAUUGAUUGAUUUGAAGGUCUAUUUAUAAACUUCCCUGUGUGGACUCAUGACAUCACAUGUGAUGUCAUAGAAGGAGUUACCACUUUAGUACCAUGACAUCAUCAGUGAGCUGAAACAGGCUGAUUCACAUCCUGUCAUUACGUCACAGAUGAUGUCACGAGUUCAGUCAGAUCUUGAGGACAUUUGAGCUGAUAUCAGAAAGGAUCUCUAUUAAUUAAUCAAUGGGUAAAAUGUUGUUGAAAAGUGGAGGUUGACUGGACGUCUACACGACAUAUAAUCAUUUGAAAUAUGAUGUUAGAAAGGCUGAAAGUGUAAUUGGAGUGUGGAAACAGGUAGUUCAGCAUUUAUUGAUCUAUACAAGUUGUGAUAUUAGUUGGAUACAAACUGUGUCACCUGAUUGGCAGAUGUGCUGCAGCCACCUGUUGGCUGGUUUAAUUAAUGCACCUACAUUAGUGGGUAGGCUGAGCAGUUGGAGUGCGGCAGGCUUUAGAGAGGAAAUACAUGAGGUGUGUGUUUCUGACAUAAUGUAAGUAGUUUCUGGUUUGUUCUUCUUUGGAGUGUUUAAUUAGUAUCUGUGAAGGGAAUAUUGUCCAUAUUACCUAACCUACACUUGAAAUGACUGCGCUGUGUAAAUAUGUGAAUUAUCCUGCCACUUGCCUGACAUAAUUACCUCCUUUUUCAUGUCUUUGUUAAUGUGCAUCGCUAUUUAAAGCAUAUGUAAGCCAGUAGAGAAUUGGGUCCAAUUAUAUCUUUAUUUUUCUAUAGUUUCUUCUUUUUCUAUAGACCGAGUUGAGUCGCUGAAGUAUCACCAGAGAGUUUCCCGCUCUGGAGAUCAGAGUCAGCGUGCAAUAACUGGGCCUUGGGAAAGCAGUGCUCGACUCAUGUGUGGAGCCCCACCUCUGGAGCUGUGAUUGAGGACGCCUUCCAUCUUCGUAAAAUAAAAAAACAAAAACAAAAUGAAAACAAAUGGCCCACACCCUGCAGCAAUGGGCAGGGCUGCAUCACAGUGAGUGAUGAAGACCACAGCAGCAACACGGGAUGCCUGACGAAAGUGAAGCUUGAUGGAGGACUAAAGCAGAAGCUGCAGGACAUCUACCAACCAUUCCUUAUAUUCAUAUCAUCCUCUCAGUCUGCCCAGCCAGGAGAGACAGCGUGAUUGUGCCCUGUGUUGGUGUGUUGAUGGGAGCAUCAGCUUGUUCAGUUGUUUCAAACAGAGGCAUCCUGGGGUUGGGCUGUGGUUGCUGGAUAUCGGUGUAAUCCUUCACAUGUUCCUUUUGUAAAACAAAGUUUUAUUCUAUACAAUUUUAUGAGUACAGUUUUGCUGUUUGAGUUAUCAAGUUUCCACAUCAACCAAAAAUGCAAUAAUAAUCCAUGAUGACAAGUCUACUGGCCUUGUAUUACAUUGGCUUUAAUGUUGUUACUGUACAUUACAUUCAAACAAUUAGAUGUGUAAUAUGUGACUUUUCACUUUAAUACUGAAGGAAAAAAAGAGAGGAAUCACAUAAUGUAUUUUAAACAUGUAACUAUUAGAUGUCAUGACAGAUGGAAUAAUGUCACACUGGCUGUUUAUUAACACCUUUACACAACAUUUCUGUCUUUACAUUUUAAACUGAAACAGGCAGCAGGUUAGCGGAUAAACUAGCAGCAGACUAACAGCUCCAGUCGGUAAAACAAACAAAUGUGAGAAAAAUGAGUGUUUACAUACCAAGCAGAAACCACUGGCAGCUGCUUUGUUAAUUCAGUCGUUAAGUCACUUUCCUCUUCACUUUUCUUUCGGUUAAACUCAACUCUAAUGUGAUUUGUCCAAGUGGCGUUGCUGUACGUCACUGUCCAAAAUGGUGGAACCGCUCGCGCAUGCACAACACAAAUCGGGCAGUGAUAAAACUUACCAAACAAAAAGCGAAGAAGACCCCUCAGUGUCUGUAAGAACAGUCAAGAGCAGCUCGACACUGGUUUAAAAAUGGUGUCAGUGAAUCACAAAUGAAUACGUAUAUUAGUGUCCUUCAGAAACUGCUGCAGUCACUCGGCUGUCUGCCGCCUCAGAUGGAGGUAUGCAGCACAAACGUAGAAAUAAAUGAAUAAAUGUAAAAAUUCAUAAAUAAAUAAAUGUCGCAAUGCAUAAAUGAGUAAAUACAUACAUAA
Thunnus maccoyii (southern bluefin tuna) is the source of this 3386-nucleotide long non-coding RNA. RefSeq lists it as uncharacterized. The transcript has 3 exons. Lineage: Eukaryota; Metazoa; Chordata; Actinopteri; Scombriformes; Scombridae. The record is from RefSeq and is a predicted model, not a curated record.